This 648-nucleotide ribosomal RNA is filed under the name uncultured Prevotella sp. RNAcentral's name for it is "bacterial SSU rRNA". It matches the Rfam family "Bacterial small subunit ribosomal RNA", at positions 68 to 715 of the family's 1533-position model. Lineage: Bacteria; Pseudomonadati; Bacteroidota; Bacteroidia; Bacteroidales; Prevotellaceae. The record is from RNAcentral.
UGGAGCUUGCUUCCGAUAGGCGUCGACCGGCGCACGGGUGAGUAACGCGUAUCCUUCCUGCCCACCACUUGGGGAUAACCUUGCGAAAGUAAGACUAUUACCCAGUGAUAUCUCUAGAAGACAUCUGAAGGAGAUUAAAGAUUUAUCGGUGAUGGAUGGGGAUGCGUCUGAUUAGCUUGUUGGCGGGGUAACGGCCCACCAAGGCGACGAUCAGUAGGGGUUCUGAGAGGAAGGUCCCCCACAUUGGAACUGAGACACGGUCCAAACUCCUACGGGAGGCAGCAGUGAGGAAUAUUGGUCAAUGGACGAGAGUCUGAACCAGCCAAGUAGCGUGCAGGAUGACGGCCCUAUGGGUUGUAAACUGCUUUUAUAAGGGAAUAAAGUGAGUCUCGUGAGACUUUUUGCAUGUACCUUAUGAAUAAGGACCGGCUAAUUCCGUGCCAGCAGCCGCGGUAAUACGGAAGGUCCGGGCGUUAUCCGGAUUUAUUGGGUUUAAAGGGAGCGUAGGCCGGAGAUUAAGCGUGUUGUGAAAUGUAGACGCUCAACGUCUGCACUGCAGCGCGAACUGGUUUCCUUGAGUACGCACAAAGUGGGCGGAAUUCGUGGUGUAGCGGUGAAAUGCUUAGAUAUCACGAAGAACUCCGAUUG